This 74-nucleotide transfer RNA is filed under the name Methanobacteriota archaeon. RNAcentral describes it as "Euryarchaeota archaeon tRNA-Lys". It matches the Rfam family "tRNA". From Rfam's summary of the family: Transfer RNA (tRNA) molecules are approximately 80 nucleotides in length. Their secondary structure includes four short double-helical elements and three loops (D, anti-codon, and T loops). Lineage: Archaea; Methanobacteriati; Methanobacteriota. RNAcentral also lists the same sequence under 3 other names. The record is from RNAcentral.
GGGCUUGUAGCUUAGCUAGGUAGAGCGUCGGGCUUUUAACCCGAUGGCCAGGGGUUCGAAUCCCCUCAGGCCCG